RNAcentral lists this ribosomal RNA (1549 nucleotides) under uncultured eukaryote. RNAcentral's name for it is "SSU rRNA". It matches the Rfam family "Eukaryotic small subunit ribosomal RNA", at positions 83 to 1659 of the family's 1831-position model. The record is from RNAcentral.
GAAACUGCGAAUGGCUCAUUAAAACAGUUAUAGUUUAUUUGGUGGUCAACGGUUAUUUGGAUAACUGCGGGAAUUCUGGAGCUAAUACAUGCGAAAAGGCGUGACUUUACGGAAACGUCGUAUUUAUUAGGUACAAAACCAGUCCCUUCGGGGUUAUUGAUGAUUCAUAAUAAACGUACGAAGCGCAUGAUUUGUUAUCGGCGCUGGUCCAUUCAAGUUUCUGACCUAUCAGCUUUCGAUGGUAGUGUAUUGGACUACCAUGGCAUUGACGGGUAACGGAGAAUUAGGGUUCGAUUCCGGAGAGGGGGCCCGAGAAACGGCCACCACAUCUAAGGAAGGCAGCAGGCGCGCAAAUUACCCAAUCCUGAUACAGGGAGGUAGUGACAAGAAAUAACAAAGUAAGCCUUAUUUGAGGUUUUACUAUUGGAAUGAGUGGAAUACAAAACAAUUCACGACUAACAAUUGGAGGGCAAGUCUGGUGCCAGCAGCCGCGGUAAUUCCAGCUCCAAUAGCGUAUAUUAAAGUUGUUGCGGUUAAAAAGCUCGUAGUUGGAUUUCUUCUAGGGAUGGCGGGUCUCCUUCUUAAGGAUGUAUCUUUGCCAGCCUUGGAAUCCUCUUGAAAUCCGUUUUUGUGUUUCACUACAUGAUUCGGCGUUCAAGACAUUUACUUUGAGGAAAUUAGAGUGUUCAUAGCAAGCAAACGCUUUGAAUAUAUUAGCAUGGAAUAAUAAUAUAAGACUAAGUACUUAUUUUGUUGGUUUCUAGGGGCUUAGUAAUGAUAAAUAGGGAUAAUUGGGGGUAUUCGUAUUGACACGUCAGAGGUGGAAUUCUUGGAUUGUGUCACGACGAACUACUGCGAAAGCAUUUACCAAGGAUGUUUUCAUUGAUCAAGAACGAAAGUUUGGGGAUCGAAGAUGAUUAGAUACCGUCGUAGUCCAAACCAUAAACUAUGCCAACUAGAGAUGGGGGAGUGUUAUUUAUCGACCUCCUCCGCACCUUAUGAGAAAUCAAAGUCUUUGGGUUCCGGGGGGAGUAUGGUCGCAAGGCUGAAACUUAAAGGAAUUGACGGAAGGGCACCACCAGGAGUGGAGCCUGCGGCUUAAUUUGACUCAACACGGGGAAACUCACCAGGUCCAGACAUAGUAAGGAUUGACAGAUUGAUAGAUCUUUCUUGAUUCUAUGGGUGGUGGUGCAUGGCCGAUCUUAGUUGGUGGAGUGAUUUGUCUGGUUAAUUCCGUUAACGAACGAGACCUUGACCUGCUAAAUAGACGCAAGUAUCUUCGGAUAUCUGUGCUGCUUCUUAGAUGGGACUACGGGUUCAUAAGCCCGUGGAAGUUCGAGGCAAUAUCAGGUCUGUGAUGCCCUUAGAUGUUCUGGGCUGCACGCGCGCUACACUGACAGUUUCAUCGAGCUUUUUCCUUGUCCGGUGGGAUUGGGUAAUCUUCUGAAAAACUGUCGUGAUGGGGAUAGAUUAUUGUAAUUAUUAAUCUUCAACGAGGAAUUCCUAGUAGACCCGAGUCAUCAGCUCGGAUCGAUUACGUCCCUGCCCU